Molecule: non-coding RNA, 121 nt
Organism: Picea glauca (white spruce)
Lineage: Eukaryota; Viridiplantae; Streptophyta; Pinopsida; Pinales; Pinaceae
Source: Rfam
ACAUGCCUACAAUAUAACGUUAAUGCACCAAAUCCCAUUAGAACUCCACAGUUAAGCACGCUCAAUCUAGAGUAGUAUUGGGAUGGGUGAUCGCCCGGGAAAUCCUAGUGUUUUACAUGCC